This 73-nucleotide transfer RNA is filed under the name Saccoglossus kowalevskii. RNAcentral's name for it is "tRNA-Met". It matches the Rfam family "tRNA". Rfam says of the family: Transfer RNA (tRNA) molecules are approximately 80 nucleotides in length. Their secondary structure includes four short double-helical elements and three loops (D, anti-codon, and T loops). Lineage: Eukaryota; Metazoa; Hemichordata; Enteropneusta; Harrimaniidae. The record is from RNAcentral.
GCCUAGUUAGCGCAGUAGGCAGCGUGUCAGUCUCAUAAUCUGAAGGUCGUGAGUUCGAUCCUCACACGAGGCA